RNAcentral lists this long non-coding RNA (1452 nucleotides) under Lathyrus oleraceus (garden pea). Its description in RNAcentral is "Pisum sativum (pea) long non-coding RNA (PSAT_LNC035922)". Lineage: Eukaryota; Viridiplantae; Streptophyta; Magnoliopsida; Fabales; Fabaceae. The record is from RNAcentral.
UAGGAUUUAAUUAAUACUAUUAUUAAAGAAAAUCUGAAAAUAAAUAAAAGUAUAAAAAAAUCUCUCUCCAAUCCACGUCUCUCUACUCGCUAGAGGUCAAAAAAAAAGAGAAAAGUGGAACUGAAAAAGAAUAAAGAGAAAAAGGCAGUGGGGUUCCCACUCACUGAAUACCCUUUCUCUUUCGGCUGGAACAGAAAAGAAAAAAAAAUACAUUAAACUUGCUCUCCCCUGUUCAUCUUCCUUAAUCCAAAUCUACUGCACCCUCUCUUCCGUCUUCGCCCACACCUUCCGUUUCCUCCUUCACCGCACACAACAACCAAACGAACGCCUCCCCGCAUCCAUAUCCAUCUGGCCACUGCCACUUCUUCAUCUCCCUCCGGCUACACCGUCCAUACCCAUCGUCUUCCGCUGUGAACCGCGACCACCACUGAGCGCCAAAACACUUCUCUUGCUGGCCAAAUAAAGAAAAACAAAAAUAAAAUAGGAAACAAAACAAAGAGGAUCUUUCCUCUUCUUCGACGGACCUUUUCUUCUCCACUCGUCGGACCCACCGCGUCAACCUCUAUCACUGCCGCGAGCUCCAAUCGAACUCCGCCUCACAAAUCACAAGAACCUCACUGCGGUUUCCGUCGCGAACCCCCUACAUCACCACGUCACACACCAAAUCUCCACCACGGCCAUCCGCGUCCAGAUCCGACAACCAUGGCGUGCGGCACCGGUAACAUUAAAUUCAUUCGAUAAAAUAUAUUUUCCUUUAUCAUCAUAUUCCCUUUGUUUCGUUCCAAUUAGGAAUAUUAAUGUUACAUGUUAAAAUUUCAUGGUGUUCUUAUUUUUAAAAAUAAACUGAAAAACUCAUAUUCACGGCAUUCUUUAAUUUUGUAUAAACAUGGUAAAGUUUGUCGACUUUGUACAUGUGAUUAGCAUAAACAAUUUUGUAUGGAAAUCUGCAUUAAAUGGAAAAUUGAUGCUAAUAUUGGACUGGUUGUUAAGUGUUGAUAUUAUUAGAAAUUCCACACUAAAAUGACAUUUUGUUUUUUUUUUCACGAUAUUGCAUAAGUUGGAUUUCAAGUAAAUUUCUAAUUUGUGGAAAGCUCAAAGUUAAAAAUUAGUUUUCUAUAUUUUUCCAAUGUUCUUGGUGAAUUGGUUUGUGUUCUAGAUAGGUAGCACGUGAUAAUGUUAAUCAUGAAAUUUUGGCUAUGUUAUAAUUAAUUAUUAAUAUUGUAAUUAUGUUGACAAUUGAUUGCUAAAAAAUGUGUAAUUAUAUGGUUAAUUGGUUGUUGAAACAUUACAUUGCACAUGGAUUUUGACCCGAUUAUGUCGUGGCAUUGUUGAUUUUUGGCAACUCAUUAUGAACUAUAAUAUAAUUUGUUUCUAUUACAUUGCGUUGAAUAGAGAUUUCGAUUUGUGGAUUCGGAAAUUUCAUGCAGAUAUCUCGCUAAAGUCUCAACAAAU